CUACUGGGGUUUCUAAUCCUGUUUGCUCCCCACGCUUUCGUGCAUGAGCGUCAGUAUUAUCCCAGGGGGCUGCCUUCGCCAUCGGUGUUCCUCCACAUAUCUACGCAUUUCACUGCUACACGUGGAAUUCCACCCCCCUCUGACAUACUCUAGUCCGGUAGUUAAAAAUGCAGUUCCAAGGUUGAGCCCUGGGAUUUCACAUCUUUCUUUCCGAACCGCCUGCGCACGCUUUACGCCCAGUAAUUCCGAUUAACGCUUGCACCCUACGUAUUACCGCGGCUGCUGGCAC
Molecule: ribosomal RNA, 289 nt
Filed under: uncultured Alcaligenaceae bacterium
Lineage: Bacteria; Pseudomonadati; Pseudomonadota; Betaproteobacteria; Burkholderiales; Alcaligenaceae
Description: partial 16S ribosomal RNA
Source: RNAcentral